AUUGAACGCUGGCGCCAUGCCUUACACAUGCAAGUCGAACGGCAGCAUGGAGAGCUUGCUCUCUGAUGGCGAGUGGCGAACGGGUGAGUAAUGCAUCGGAACGUACCGUGUAAUGGGGGAUAACGUAGCGAAAGUUACGCUAAUACCGCAUACGACCUGAGGGUGAAAGCAGGGGAUCGCAAGACCUUGCGUUAUACGAGCGGCCGAUGUCAGAUUAGCUAGUUGGUGAGGUAAAGGCUCACCAAGGCGACGAUCUGUAGCGGGUCUGAGAGGAUGAUCCGCCAAACUGGGACUGAGACACGGCCCAGACUCCUACGGGAGGCAGCAGUGGGGAAUUUUGGACAAUGGGGGCAACCCUGAUCCAGCCAUGCCGCGUGAGUGAAGAAGGCCUUCGGGUUGUAAAGCACUUUUGUUGGGAAAGAAAAGCGGUCGGUUAAUACCCGGUCGUUCUGACGGUACCCAAAGAAUAAGCACCGGCUAACUUCGUGCCAGCAGCCGCGGUAA
Molecule: ribosomal RNA, 504 nt
Filed under: uncultured bacterium
Lineage: Bacteria
Description: partial 16S ribosomal RNA
Rfam family: Bacterial small subunit ribosomal RNA
Source: RNAcentral